RNAcentral lists this transfer RNA (73 nucleotides) under Salibacteraceae bacterium. RNAcentral describes it as "tRNA-Pro". It matches the Rfam family "tRNA". Rfam says of the family: Transfer RNA (tRNA) molecules are approximately 80 nucleotides in length. The record is from RNAcentral. Lineage: Bacteria; Pseudomonadati; Bacteroidota; Flavobacteriia; Flavobacteriales; Salibacteraceae.
CGGGAUGUAGCUCAGUUGGUAGAGUGCACGUCUGGGGGGCGUGAAGCCGCAGGUUCAAGUCCUGUCAUCCCGA